CCUCUUGUGCCUCUGAACGAAAGGCGAGUUCUUGGCAUCUUCCUCUGCGAAUAUAUUCACACAAAACAAACAGGUCAACGGAAAUUAGGGUUUCGAACUGGAAAUAAACAAAUCGGAGGGGGGCAAAAGAGCUUACCAGUGAGGCCGAUAGAGAACUUGGUGAUCAGGGUUCCGGUGAUGGCGAACCCGACGAGGAACGGCCAGUUCCGGUUCCAUUCUCGCUUGAAGAAAAUCGGCCAUGGAUCGAACUUCCUCAUUUCUCUUCUUUCCUUCAACAAUGCUCGCUCUC
Molecule: long non-coding RNA, 289 nt
Filed under: Malus domestica (apple)
Lineage: Eukaryota; Viridiplantae; Streptophyta; Magnoliopsida; Rosales; Rosaceae
Description: long non-coding RNA (MDOM_LNC010176)
Source: RNAcentral